Molecule: ribosomal RNA, 370 nt
Filed under: Photobacterium damselae
Lineage: Bacteria; Pseudomonadati; Pseudomonadota; Gammaproteobacteria; Vibrionales; Vibrionaceae
Description: bacterial SSU rRNA
Rfam family: Bacterial small subunit ribosomal RNA
Source: RNAcentral
GGUGGGGACGACGUCAAGUCAUCAUGGCCCUUACGAGUAGGGCUACACACGUGCUACAAUGGCAUAUACAGAGGGCAGCAAGACCGCGAGGUGGAGCGAAUCCCAGAAAGUAUGUCGUAGUCCGGAUCGGAGUCUGCAACUCGACUCCGUGAAGUCGGAAUCGCUAGUAAUCGUGGAUCAGAAUGCCACGGUGAAUACGUUCCCGGGCCUUGUACACACCGCCCGUCACACCAUGGGAGUGGGCUGCACCAGAAGUAGAUAGCUUAACCUUCGGGAGGGCGUUUACCACGGUGUGGUUCAUGACUGGGGUGAAGUCGUAACAAGGUAGCCCUAGGGGAACCUGGGGCUGGAUCACCUCCUUACAAAAAAG